UCGGCCUACAUCCAAUCCAUAUCUCAUAUAGAGUGAUUGUGACCGACUUACUUCAAAUCUUGUUGAGCAUAUUGCAAGUAGUCUCAAGAGCAUAACCUCAAAGGGAGGCUGGCAGACUUACAAACCUUAUCUUAGAUCGAAUCAUGUUUGAGAAGGUUUGAUUCCUCCUCCCAAGAGGUGUCCAUUCGAGAGAAUCUCAUUCUCUUCUAAAUAGAUCAAAAACUCAUUGAAAAGAUAUUCACCUCCUCAAUC
Molecule: long non-coding RNA, 252 nt
Filed under: Elaeis guineensis (African oil palm)
Lineage: Eukaryota; Viridiplantae; Streptophyta; Magnoliopsida; Arecales; Arecaceae
Description: long non-coding RNA (EGUI_LNC074834)
Source: RNAcentral